Sciurus carolinensis (gray squirrel) is the source of this 117-nucleotide small nuclear RNA. RefSeq annotates it as U5 spliceosomal RNA. NCBI's taxonomy places the organism in Eukaryota, Metazoa, Chordata, Mammalia, Rodentia, Sciuridae. The record is from RefSeq and is a predicted model, not a curated record. The transcript has a single exon.
GUAUUCUGGUUUCUCUCUAGAUCAUAUAAAUUGUUCACCUUUUCCUAAAGGUUUCUGUGGAGAGGAAUAAUAGAAUUUUAACAUGGCUUCUUACACCAAGCACUGAGCAGGUGCUGA